RNAcentral lists this ribosomal RNA (468 nucleotides) under uncultured bacterium. RNAcentral's name for it is "partial 16S ribosomal RNA". It matches the Rfam family "Bacterial small subunit ribosomal RNA", at positions 28 to 507 of the family's 1533-position model. The record is from RNAcentral.
GACGAACGCUGGCGGCGUGCUUAACACAUGCAAGUCGAACGGAAAGGCCCUGCUUUUGUGGGGUGCUCGAGUGGCGAACGGGUGAGUAACACGUGAGUAUCCUGCCCUUGUCUUUGGGAUAACUUCAGGAAACUGGGGCUAAUACCGGAUAGGAGCUCUUGCUGCACGGGGGGGGUAGGAAAGUUACGGCGGUUGGGGAUGGACUAGCGGCUUAUCAGCUUGUUAGUGGGGUAGUGGCUGACCAAGGCUUUGACGGGUAGCCGGCCUGGGCGGGUGACCGGGCACAUUGGGACUGAGGUACGGCCCAGACGCGUACGGGAGGCAGCAGUGGGAAGUAUUGCACAAUAGGCGGGAGCCUGAUGCGACAACGCCGCGUGCGGGAUGACGGCCUUCGGGUUAUAAACCGCUUUCGCCUGUGACGAAGCGUGAGUGACGGUAAUGAGUAAAAAAGCACCGGCUAACUACGUG